RNAcentral lists this ribosomal RNA (253 nucleotides) under uncultured bacterium. RNAcentral's name for it is "partial 16S ribosomal RNA". It matches the Rfam family "Bacterial small subunit ribosomal RNA", at positions 524 to 776 of the family's 1533-position model. The record is from RNAcentral.
UACGAAGGGGGCUAGCGUUGUUCGGAUUUACUGGGCGUAAAGCGCACGUAGGCGGCUUGUUAAGUCAGAGGUGAAAUCCCGGAGCUCAACUCCGGAACUGCCUUUGAUACUGGCAAGCUCGAGUGUAGCAGAGGUUGGUGGAACUGCGAGUGUAGAGGUGAAAUUCGUAGAUAUUCGCAAGAACACCAGUGGCGAAGGCGGCCAACUGGGCUAUAACUGACGCUGAGGUGCGAAAGCGUGGGGAGCAAACAGG